GCCACUCAAUGAUCUCCUGCUGGAAACAGAGAGAAGAGGACGUGGAGAAGAAUAGGACGGAUCUGAUCCCGCGGCCGCGCAAUGAGCUUUCAGGAUGAGAGCGGCGGGGAGGAGGGCGGUGGGGGGCUGAUCGGCGUCGGACUUGCGAAAGCCUUUCCAACACACGGGGAUGUCCCCAAUGGGUGGGGACACGGUGGCCCGCCUCGGCUCCUCCGCCUACAUGCUCUGCGACAGCUCCAUCUCCACCUUGCUCUGCACCUUCGUUGUCGCGCUUGGCCCCAUCCAGUUCAGCUUCACGUACAGUUACUCCUUGCCCACUCAUCGCCUUUGCCAUUGGGCAAAUCGCCGAGUUCAUCGGUCCUAAAGGGUCUCUCAUGAUCGCCGCAGUUCCCAAACAUCAUUGGGUGGCUUGCAAUAUCAUUUGCAAAUGACUCCGUAUUUUUGUUCAUGGGCCGAUUGUUGGAAGGGUUUGGGAUUGGUGUGAUUCCUACACAGUCUGUAUCCCUAUUCUCCUAACCUUGUACAAAUUCACUCCAGAGUUCAAACAUGAAUGAUAAUGCGUUUGCUUUCUUACUGUUGUGUUGUUGCUAUGGCCUAUGAUAUGAUUGUUUCCCCUAGCAUAAUCAUAAUCCUACAAUAUUUCUAUCUGUUCGGUCUUUGUAUAGAAAAGAACAAGAACACCAAAAUAAUAUCUAGACCAAAGGAACUUAAUUAGCCUAUAAGAAGAACUAAAAAUGCCGACAUUCUGUAAUUUGAGAAAUAUCAUAUAUUACAGCGGUCGGGGUGCAGAUAAGUGUGGUUAGAAGUUCGAACAACGAGAUCCAGAUCAAGUGCCUGAUGCCACGCUUCUCCCUGUGAGAUUUAUCUAUUUUUCCUUUAUAGAUGAUGCAUAUAUUUGUAAUCCUCCAUAGACUUUGCCAAAUGUUAGCAUGGUUCCUUUAUGUUAGUUCUUCCUGUACUUGCUGAGGUGAAGGGAUUAUGAUUUACAAAAUGACACUUAUGCCAAGCAUUUAGGAAAGAAUCAGCUUGUAUGAAAUUAUUAGCAUGCACUACUUCUCAAGAAAAUAUUAGUUAGCAAAUGUGGUAUGAUGUGAUAGUCCUCCUGCCAAGCGCCCUCUUCAGAAAAGAGAAAAUAUUCUAUGAUGACAUGCAAUGUGAUUAGUCAUGAAUGGUACAAGGUUCCUAAAUUGACAUGAUAGCGUGUUUAAUUUUUCUUUAGUUGAUCAUGUUACUUAUUGGCGAAUGCUUAAUUUGGACAUAGGUUCCUCGUUUCCUCACUUAUGUUAUGUGAAAAUGUGAGGGAAUCACUGGGGAACCGCCAUUGGGGAUGCGGGAAUCACAUGCCGCCGCCACCUGGACGCGCUAGCCACUGCUACCACAGGGGACACGGGCGCACGUGGCAGCCGCUGCUGCCACAGGAGCCACGGGCUCAAGUGGAAGUCGUCAUUGCCUCAGUUCUUCAGUGACAGCUGAAUUAGCUGAAGGCGACAAUGAGCAUCAAUUUGUUUUCCUUAGAUGAAGCAUUCUACAUUAAAUUGUAACUUCUUCAGUACAGGUUGCAUGCAAUUUUUUAAUGGUUAGUUCCAGAUUAUCCCCUUUUUGUGUACAUUUAGUAGAUGCUUAUAUGAAUCUAUGCCGUCUUCUCUCUUACUAAAGUUUACAUUGAAUUCUGUUAAGAUUUCCUAUUCUUUUUUAAUGAUGUACUUACUCAAAGCUUCUCUCUCCUACUAGGCUAAUUUAGGGAGUUUUACUGGAUCAUAUUCGUUAUGUAUCCUUUCGUUUAGACAUUCGUCCAAUUGAAUUUUCUCAUCCACUCUGUUAAGUUAUUCUCAUUGAAUUUGCUGCUCAUGGGUUAACCUGUGCGGAGAUUGCCUUUUAUUUGUCUGUAAUGUGAUGCAUUUAUUUUAAGAAUCCGGUUAAGCUCAUGUUCAGCUCGUGUAAUGAUGUUGCAUCAUUGAUCCAUUCAAAAAUAUUUCCCCAUUCUUGAAUUGUCUGCAAAUUCAGGAAAUAAAGUUAUAUUGCAAGAACUGGAACUGAAGGAAGACCCAAACUCUGAGCACCACAUUCUCUAAGGGCCCUUCUAUUUGAAAUACACUUAUGCAGAAGUAUGCCCUUAUUGCUUUUGUAAUGUAUGUGACUUCUUAUUUGAAAUACACUUAUGCAGAAGUAUGACUUCAGUGCUAUUGUACUAUAUGUGACUGACAUCUAGAUGCACUUCUGAAGAUCAUUUGUAUGUCUUGCAUGUGGCAUAAUUGUAUGUGUGACCGACUUCAUUUUUAUACGUGCGUUGCACGUGCACGCUUACUAGUUAGAAUAAA
Molecule: long non-coding RNA, 2318 nt
Organism: Triticum aestivum (bread wheat)
Lineage: Eukaryota; Viridiplantae; Streptophyta; Magnoliopsida; Poales; Poaceae
Exons: 4
Source: RefSeq, a predicted model, not a curated record